AGAGUUUGAUCCUGGCUCAGGACGAACGCUGGCGGCGUGCCUAACACAUGCAAGUCGAACGGAACUGUUUUGAAAGAUUUCUUCGGAAUGAAUUUGAUUUAGUUUAGUGGCGGACGGGUGAGUAACGCGUGAGUAACCUGCCUUCAAGAGGGGGAUAACAUUCUGAAAAGAAUGCUAAUACCGCAUGACAUAUCGGAACCACAUGGUUUUGAUAUCAAAGAUUUUAUCGCUUGAAGAUGGACUCGCGUCCGAUUAGUUAGUUGGUGAGGUAACGGCUCACCAAGACCGCGAUCGGUAGCCGGACUGAGAGGUUGAACGGCCACAUUGGGACUGAGACACGGCCCAGACUCCUACGGGAGGCAGCAGUGGGGGAUAUUGCGCAAUGGGGGCAACCCUGACGCAGCAACGCCGCGUGAAGGAUGAAGGUUUUCGGAUUGUAAACUUCUUUUAUUAAGGACGAAAAAUGACGGUACUUAAUGAAUAAGCUCCGGCUAACUACGUGCCAGCAGCCGCGGUAAUACGUAGGGAGCAAGCGUUGUCCGGAUUUACUGGGUGUAAAGGGUGCGUAGGCGGCUUUGCAAGUCAGAUGUGAAAUCUAUGGGCUCAACCCAUAAACUGCAUUUGAAACUGUAGAGCUUGAGUGAAGUAGAGGCAGGCGGAAUUCCCCGUGUAGCGGUGAAAUGCGUAGAGAUGGGGAGGAACACCAGUGGCGAAGGCGGCCUGCUGGGCUUUAACUGACGCUGAGGCACGAAAGCGUGGGUAGCAAACAGGAUUAGAUACCCUGGUAGUCCACGCUGUAAACGAUGAUUACUAGGUGUGGGGGGUCUGACCCCUUCCGUGCCGGAGUUAACACAAUAAGUAAUCCACCUGGGGAGUACGGCCGCAAGGUUGAAACUCAA
Molecule: ribosomal RNA, 899 nt
Filed under: Clostridiales bacterium
Lineage: Bacteria; Bacillati; Bacillota; Clostridia; Eubacteriales
Description: bacterial SSU rRNA
Rfam family: Bacterial small subunit ribosomal RNA
Source: RNAcentral